Acipenser ruthenus (sterlet) is the source of this 2991-nucleotide RNA transcript. It is a transcript of the gene named mitochondrial 2-oxodicarboxylate carrier-like, with no coding region annotated. The record is from RefSeq and is a predicted model, not a curated record. The transcript is spliced from 12 exons. NCBI's taxonomy places the organism in Eukaryota, Metazoa, Chordata, Actinopteri, Acipenseriformes, Acipenseridae.
UCUUUUAACAGCAAAAGGUUAUAAUUAUGUAACCGCUGCUCUAAGGGUUUACUGCACGCUGGAAAAUGGGACAGGUGUCUUCCUCGUAAAAUAAUUCUGAACCGACUCAACUUGGCAAAGCAAACUAAACUGAACUCAAAGUCCCCAAUUCACUUAGUUGCAGUGGAGUCUCAAAGGUCCCGAAAUGUCGUCAAAACAACAAUGUCUAUUGAGAGAAGCGUCUCACCAAAUUCUGGCUGGGGGUUCCGCUGGUCUUGUGGAGAUCUGCCUGAUGCACCCCCUGGAUGUGGUGAAAACAAGGUUCCAAAUCCAGAGGGGGACUAGUGACCCAAACAGCUACAAGAGCCUCCGUGACUGCUUCCGAACCAUAUUCCGGAAUGAAGGGAUACUUGGCUUCUACAAGGGGAUCCUCCCUCCGAUCCUGGCAGAGACCCCGAAAAGAGCUGUCAAGUUCUUCACCUUUGAACAAUACAAGAAGAUAUUGAGUUUCACCUCGUUACAUCCUGGCUUGGCCCUUUCAAUCGCCGGAUUAGGAGCAGGCCUGACGGAAGCAGUGGUCGUCAAUCCCUUUGAAGUUGUCAAAGUCAGUCUACAAGCGAAUCGGAAUGCAUUUGCAGAGCAACCCUCAACGUUUGGCCAGGCACGGCACAUAAUCAGCACCAACGGGUUUGGCCUGCAAGGCCUCAACAAGGGGCUGACCUCUACCCUGGGUCGUCAUGGUGUGUUCAACAUGAUCUACUUUGGGUUCUACUUCAACGUCAAGAACAUGUUCCCAGCCUUUCAGGACCCGACUUUGGAAUUCCUGCGGAAGUUUGGAAUUGGACUGGCCUCAGGAACCAUCUCCUCUUGCGUCAACAUUCCUUUUGACGUGGCCAAGAGCCGUAUUCAAGGGCCACAACCUGUCCCUGGAGAAAUCAAGUACCGAACCUGCUUUCAGACCAUGGCAGUUAUCUACAGGGAAGAAGGGUAUUUAGCAUUGUACAAGGGAUUGGUACCCAAGAUUAUGAGACUCGGACCAGGAGGUGCAGUGAUGCUGUUGGUUUAUGAAUACACAUAUGGCUGGCUGCAGAACAACUGGUGAAGGAAAGCCAGUCACCCAGAGGAAGUCUUAAUAAUUUGAAGAUGUUACGAGUGAAUUCUAAGAACCUUGGAGUCACCCUGGACCCCUGCCUCUCUUAUUCCCAGCACAUCUCCACUCUGGCACGCACUUGCAGAUUCUUCCUGAGCAACAUCCGAAGAAUCCGACCCUUCCUCACCAACUAUGCUACCCAGCUCCUUGUCCAGGCCCUGGUACUCUCCCGCCUAGACUACUGCAACUCCCUCCUGGCUGGCCUCCCUGCGUCCGCCACCCGUCCGCUCCAGCUCAUCCAGAACUCUGCUGCUCGCCUGGUGUUCUCUCUACCUCGCUUCGCCCACGCUACUCCACUACUCCGCUCGCUCCACUGGCUCCCGAUCACCGCUCGCAUCCAGUUCAAGACUCUUGUACUAGCCUACAGAUGCCUUGAUCAGACUGCACCCAGCUACCUCCAGACCCUCAUCUCUCCCUACACCCCCACUCGACCUCUCCGCUCCGCCUGCACUAGAAGACUGGCUCUACCUCCGCUACGCUCCCCUGCCUCCCGAGCCCGCUCCUUCUCCACCCUUGCUCCGCAGUGGUGGAACGACCUUCCUACAGAUGUCAGGACUGCCCAGUCCCUGACCACAUUCCGGCGCCUCCUUAAGACUCACCUCUUCAAACAGCACCUGUAGAACUCCUCUGUUGUAUCCUGGGACACUAUCACCCUUCAUUUAAAUAUGCUUUAUUUUGCUCUUAUCUGCCCCCUAUUUUACUGCAUUUAAUCCUGUACCUCAGAAUAUUGUAAUCUGCCAAGUGUUUAAUCUGUAGUAUUUUGUACUUAAUCAUAUCCUGAUGUAACUAUCACUACUUAAUCAUAUCCUGAUGUAACUUUCACUAUUAUCUGCUGUAUUAUUGAAUUGUGGUUUGUCACACUUGAGAAUUAUUGUAUUUCUUGUUCUUAUUGUAUGACUUAUAUUGUAACACUUGAAUGUAUUUGUAUUUGCUUGCGAUUGUAAGUCGCCCUGGAUAAGGGCGUCUGCUAAGAAAUAAAUAAUAAUAAUAAUAAUAAUAAUAGUGGAAUCUCCAUUAUAAAAGUGUACUACAUUCAUUUUGCAGUUUUCCCAUGGUUGUAAUAUGCAUUUAUCAUAGUUUACCAUGGUUUGCCAUGUUUUUAUUAUGCUGUACUGUAGCUCUCUUGGCUUUAUUAUGCUUACCUGUGGUUUACUAUACUUUCACUUUGCUUUUUUACACUUUGAUAUAAAUAGUGACAGGGUGCUAAUAUGAAUAAGUGCUGAAAGGUUCAUUAAUUGAUUGUUCAUUAGAAUUGAAAAAUUAUAGUUCAUAUGAAAUUGAUUAACUCCCUCAAACUGCAAGAGGUGAAUUGUGCUGUGGAAUGUUGCUGGACAAUCAGAUAUUGAAAAGGACCAAUAGAGCUACAAACUAACAACUUAUCAUAAAAUAAUACAUUUUUUUAAUGAAAGCAAUUUUGCGAUGAAAAUAUAUGUUUACAAGAGUGGGACAAAGACAGCAGUCUCAUCAUCGUAUUUAUUUGUUUCCUGUGGGGUUGCUUGUUGGGAGUAGUUGAUUUUCACAUUGGUAAGAAAUGUAUGAAUUUGUCUAGAGGCAGCUUUGAUCAGAAACCAGAGGCCAUUCUAUAAUAAAAAUACAAUUGUUUAAAAAAAAAAAAAAAGUAUGAUUAUUUCUAUUUAUUAUUAUUAUUAUUAUUAUUAUUAUUAUACAGUGUGCUCAUUCUGUAAGCUCGUCUACUCGAGUAGUUCAUUAUGCUGCAAACGUUCAGUUGCACUAGCACUCUCAUGAUUUAUAUUUCACCAGAAACACUUGAUAGAAUUACAGUUUUAUUAUCUACAUUUGGGCGUUCAUUAUUCCUUCUAUUGUUUUUAUAAUUAUCGCCCUCUUGGAAUUCAUAUUCCAAG